RNAcentral lists this ribosomal RNA (442 nucleotides) under uncultured bacterium. RNAcentral describes it as "partial 16S ribosomal RNA". It matches the Rfam family "Bacterial small subunit ribosomal RNA", at positions 338 to 795 of the family's 1533-position model. The record is from RNAcentral.
CCUACGGGAGGCAGCAGUGGGGGAUAUUGCACAAUGGGGGAAACCCUGAUGCAGCGACGCCGCGUGGACGAAGAAGUAUUUCGGUAUGGAAAGCCCUAUCAGCAGGGAAGAAGAAAUGACGGUACCUGAGUAAGAAGCACCGGCUACAUACGUGCCAGCAGCCGCGGUAAUACGUAGGGUGCAAGCGUUAUCCGGAUUUACUGGGUGUAAAGGGAGCGCAGGCGGCACGGCAAGCCUGAUGUGAAAGCCCGCGGCCCAACCGCGGGACUGCAUUGGGAACUACCGGGCUGGAGUGCAGGAGAGGUAGGCGGAAUUCCUAGUGUAGCGGUGAAAUGCGUAGAUAUUAGGAGGAACACCAGUGGCGAAGGCGGCUUACUGGACGGUGACUGACGCUGAGGCUCGAAAGCGUGGGGAGCAAACAGGAUUAGAUACCCGAGUAGUC